GACGAACGCUGGCGGCGUGCUUAACACAUGCAAGUCGAGCGGUAAGGCCCUUUCGGGGGUACACGAGCGGCGAACGGGUGAGUAACACGUGGGUGACCUGCCCUCAGCUCUGGGAUAAGCCUGGGAAACCGGGUCUAAUACCGGAUAUGACUCCAUGACGCAUGUUGUGGGGUGAAAGCCUUGUGCGGCUGAGGAUGGGCCCGCGGCCUAUCAGCUUGUUGGUGGGGUGAUGGCCUACCAAGGCGACGACGGGUAGCCGGCCUGAGAGGGCGACCGGCCACACUGGGACUGAGACACGGCCCAGACUCCUACGGGAGGCAGCAGUGGGGAAUUUUCCGCAAUGGGCGAAAGCCUGACGGAGUGACGCCGCGUGUGGGACGAAGCC
RNAcentral lists this ribosomal RNA (385 nucleotides) under uncultured bacterium. Its description in RNAcentral is "bacterial SSU rRNA". It matches the Rfam family "Bacterial small subunit ribosomal RNA", at positions 28 to 415 of the family's 1533-position model. The record is from RNAcentral.